GGCGGCGUGCUUAACACAUGCAAGUCGAACGGUUCAGAAGAGCUUGCUCUUUUGAUCAGUGGCGAACGGGUGAGUAACACGUGAGCAACCUACCCUUGACUCUGGGAUAACAGUUGGAAACAGCUGCUAAUACCGGAUACGACCUCGGCCGACAUCUGCUGAGGUGGAAAGUUCUGGCGGUCAAGGAUGGGCUCGCGGCCUAUCAGCUAGUUGGUGAGGUAACGGCUCACCAAGGCUUCGACGGGUAGCCGGCCUGAGAGGGCGACCGGCCACACUGGGACUGAGAUACGGCCCAGACUCCUACGGGAGGCAGCAGUGGGGAAUAUUGCACAAUGGGCGAAAGCCUGAUGCAGCAACGCCGCGUGCGGGAUGACGGCCUUCGGGUUGUAAACCGCUUUCAGCUCCGACGAAGCGCAAGUGACGGUAGGAGCAGAAGAAGGACCGGCCAACUACGUGCCAGCAGCCGCGGUGAUACGUAGGGUCCGAGCGUUGUCCGGAAUUAUUGGGCGUAAAGGGCUUGUAGGCGGUUUGUCACGUCGGAAGUGAAAACUCAGGGCUCAACCCUGAGCCUGCUUCCGAUACGGGCAAACUAGAGGAAUGCAGGGGAGAAUGGAAUUCCUGGUGGAGCGGUGGAAUGCGCAGAUAUCAGGAGGAACACCAGUGGCGAAGGCGGUUCUCUGGGCAUUUCCUGACGCUGAGAAGCGAAAGCGUGGGGAGCAAACAGGCUUAGAUACCCUGGUAGUCCACGCCGUAAACGGUGGGCACUAGGUGUGGGACUCAUUCCACGAGUUCCGUGCCGUAGCUAACGCAUUAAGUGCCCCGCCUGGGGAGUACGGCCGCAAGGCUAAAACUCAAAGGAAUUGACGGGGGCCCGCACAAGCGGCGGAGCAUGCGGAUUAAUUCGAUGCAACGCGAAGAACCUUACCUGGGUUUGACAUAUGCCGGAAAGCUGCAGAGAUGUAGCCCCCGCAAGGUCGGUAUACAGGUGGUGCAUGGCUGUCGUCAGCUCGUGUCGUGAGAUGUUGGGUUAAGUCCCGCAACGAGCGCAACCCUCGUCCUAUGUUGCCAGCGGGUAAUGCCGGGGACUCAUAGGAGACUGCCGGGGUCAACUCGGAGGAAG
RNAcentral lists this ribosomal RNA (1120 nucleotides) under uncultured bacterium. Its description in RNAcentral is "bacterial SSU rRNA". It matches the Rfam family "Bacterial small subunit ribosomal RNA", at positions 38 to 1172 of the family's 1533-position model. The record is from RNAcentral.